RNAcentral lists this ribosomal RNA (464 nucleotides) under uncultured bacterium. RNAcentral's name for it is "partial 16S ribosomal RNA". It matches the Rfam family "Bacterial small subunit ribosomal RNA", at positions 339 to 795 of the family's 1533-position model. The record is from RNAcentral.
CUACGGGGGGCAGCAGUGAGGAAUAUUGCGCAAUGGGCGAAAGCCUGACGCAGCGACGCCGCGUGAAGGAUGAAGGUCUUCGGAUUGUAAACUUCUGUUAAGUGGGAAAAAAGACUCGUUUCUAAUACAGACGAGGGAUGAUUGUACCAUUAAAGAAAGCACCGGCUAACUUCGUGCCAGCAGCCGCGGUAAUACGAAGGGUGCUAGCGUUAUUCGGAAUUAUUGGGCGUAAAGGGCGCGUAGGUGGCAUGUUAAGUUUGCUGUUAAAUCUUCCAGCCUAACUGGAAAACUGCAGCAAAAACUGGCAAGCUAGAGUGUAAGAGAGAGAAGUGGAAUUCUCGGAGUAGCGGUAAAAUGCGUAGAUCUCGAGAGGAACACCGAUGGCGAAGGCAGCUUCUUGGCUUACUACUGACACUGAGGCGCGAAAGCGUGGGGAGCAAACAGGAUUAGAUACCCCCGUAGUC